UGUCAAGAGUCUUGGCGCCGUUUGGUGAGUUGAUUUCUUUUGCCUUGUAGAAGGCGAAGGACAAUG
Pararhizobium polonicum is the source of this 66-nucleotide regulatory RNA element. It matches the Rfam family "S-element". Rfam says of the family: This family represents a group of S-elements from p42d and related plasmids. The S-element has multiple functions and is believed to act as a negative regulator of repC transcription, be required for efficient replication and act as a translational enhancer of repC. The record is from Rfam. Lineage: Bacteria; Pseudomonadati; Pseudomonadota; Alphaproteobacteria; Hyphomicrobiales; Rhizobiaceae.